RNAcentral lists this unclassified non-coding RNA (3058 nucleotides) under Apis florea (little honeybee). RNAcentral's name for it is "double-stranded RNA-specific editase Adar, transcript variant X3". The record is from RNAcentral. Lineage: Eukaryota; Metazoa; Arthropoda; Insecta; Hymenoptera; Apidae.
GAAAUGUGACAUAGUAUGAAAUCUCGAUCGAUUGUUCAAACAUUCGGCUCACUUGUACAUACUCGAACAUUCGAAACUAUCAAAGACAAGUUAAACACACGAUGAACAAGAAGAAAGUGAAAAAAGAUUCAAUAAAGAAGAAAUCGGACGAAACUUUUCAACAGAUCGAAUCUGUCUCUUCUAGUUGUGCCACUGAAAAUGAUUUAACCGAUGAUUUUGAAACGCACGAAUUUCGAAAUGAUGAAACGAAAGAAUCUAUUGAAACGAAAGAAUCUGUUGAAACGAAAGAAUCUGUUGAAACGAAAGAAUCUGUUGAAACGAAAGAAUCUGUUGAAACGAAUACGAAAUCUCAAUUAAGAAGAAUUAUAAAACGUAGAAAUAAAAUAUAUAACAGAGUGCAAAAAAAAAUGAAUGUGAUAAAAAAUAUAACGUUAUAUAGCGAUUAUUUGGAAGAAAAAACAACAGUCUUGGAAAAAUGUUCUAUCAAGCACGAAGAUCUUUGUAUAUUGACAAUUGAUUUAUUAAAUGAACUUUUAUUGUUAGCCAAAAAAAUUAGUCCGGACUUAUUAUUUUUUAUAAUCAAAUACAUCAUGAAAAUAAAGAAUAUAUCGAAAGAAGACUGCAAUAUAUCCAUGGGUAGUGAUUUCAUUCCCCUAUCUCCCACAAAGGGAUUACAGGAAGGACACCUGACAGGGAUGGAGCAGCCAAACAUUUGCAAACAAAUUUUGAAGAGACCUGCUGAAUCGGAAUUUGAAGGUGCAUCUAGUCCAAAGAAGCGUCACAAGAAUCCACAGCCCAAGAAUGCAGUAUGUGCUCUAAAUGAAUUAAAAAGUGGUGCAGUGUAUAAAGUUGUUGAUCAAACUGGCCCCACACAUGCUCCAAUAUUUACAAUAGCGGUACAAAUUGAUGGUCAAACUUAUGAAGGCAAAGGACGUACUAAGAAAAUGGCAAAACAUGCUGCUGCUGAACUUGCAUUAAGAAAUAUUGUUCAGUUUAGAAAUACACCAGAAGUUCAUCAAGCUAUUAACACUUGUCAACCUUCUAUUCCCCUUGAACCAGAUUUUACGAGUGAUGUCACGGAACGCGAUAAUCAUCUAGUCAAUGCUUUUAAAACUUUAACUCAAGAACCAAAAAAUACAAAUAAAUUUUUAGAAAAAGGUCCUGUAGCGCUUAUUAAUGAAUUAUAUCCUGGUGUAGUAUAUAAAUGUGUUUCUGACAACGGUGAAAGCUAUGCAAAAUUUACAAUAUCGGUAACAAUCGAUGGAGAAACAUUCGAGGGAACUGGACCAAGUAAAAAAUUAGCAAAAGCUGCGGCUAGUAAAGCAGCGUUAGCUAAAUUAAGGAACGUUCACAGUUCCUCGUUCUGCAUACCGCUUCCGGUUCGCGUUUUGCCAAAUUUUCCCAGUAGUGGCCAUUGGCAAGAUCAGAUGUCUUUACCUCAAAUGUUAGCUGAUAAAAUUGGGAAAAUGGUGAAUCAAAAAUUUAGCGAAUUAAUUCAAUCAAAACCGCAACAUGCUCGUCGCAAAGUUUUAGCUGGCAUUGUUCAAACUAAAGGUUCAGAUGCGGAACUGAUAUGUGUAACAACUGGUACAAAAUGUGUCUCGGGGGAACAUCUGAGUGUCAGCGGUGGUGCACUGAACGAUUGUCAUGCCGAAGUGGUAGCGAGAAGAUGUUUAUGCGAAUAUUUGUAUAAACAAUUGGAACUUCAUACGGAGGACCGGGCUGCGGAAUCUAUUUUAGAACCGGCAAAGAAAGGAUUUAAAUUAAAACAAGGCAUUCAAUUUCAUUUGUAUAUAAAUACCGCACCAUGUGGUGAUGCAAGAAUCUUUUCACCUCACGAAGAGAAUGAAUCCGUCGACAAACAUCCAAAUCGAAGAGCAAGAGGUCAAUUGCGAACUAAAAUAGAAUCCGGAGAAGGUACCAUUCCCGUAAAAAGCAGCGAGGGUAUCCAAACGUGGGACGGUGUGCUUAUGGGCCAAAGACUGCUGACGAUGUCGUGUUCGGACAAAAUAGCUCGCUGGAACGUACUUGGCGUGCAAGGUGCACUCUUGAGCUACUUCAUCGAGCCAAUUUACUUCCACAGCAUCGUUCUUGGCAGUCUAUUGAACCCAAGCCAUAUGUAUAGGGCGGUCUGCGGACGUAUUGAAAAUACGAUCCAAGGAUUACCGCCUCCAUACAGACUCAAUAAACCACUCAUGAGUCUUAUUACUUCGUCAGAGGUGAGACAGCCUGGAAAAGCACCUAAUUACAGCGUUAAUUGGACAAUCGGUCAACUAGAAGCUGAAGUAAUAAAUUGUACUACUGGAAAAGACGAGUUAGGAAAACCUUCUAGAAUAUCAAAACAAGGACUGUUCAGAAGAUUUUACAACUUAUUAGGUAAACUUAAUACUAUUGAAGAUGCUGAUAAAAAUCAGUGUCGUCAUUAUUUAGAUGCAAAAUCUUCCGUACAAAAUUACUCGCUUGCCAAGCAUCAGUUGAAGGAAGCUUUCGUAAAGGCACAUCUAGGCAGUUGGGUUAAGAAACCAAUCGAACAAGAUAUGUUUGAAGUUGAUAUCUGACUAAAUCAGGGAUACAACACGCAACGAGCAACGUUCAGCCUAGAAAACGGAAAACAACGUUGGUGAACGAGAGAAGAGUCAAAAUUGCUUAAUAUUCACACGCGUCGAGAAACGAAGAUAAUAAGUAUUUACAAUAUAACUAUAAUCUAGAUAUUCUCGUGGCGAUUUGCCCGAGAAUAUUAGAUUAGCGCAUUAACAAUGAUCAGAUUCGCAACGAAACCGAGAGAAGCCGAGUAAUAGAUUUGCACGUCAAGAUACACGAUUAACAAUUACAUCGAGCUGCUUGCAUUCGAGGAGGACACGCACUUCGAAGCUGGUCCUUCGUUCGUUGGUUCUCCAGAGAACGAGCCGAUUACCGACCAACGUUCCACGAUCAUCCUGAUCACCUCAAGUGGGAUCGAGCAUCCCGGACUGUUACCACUCGUAGUCGUCCUGGUGGAAGGGGUUGGUGCAUGGUUGUUGAGCGUGUAGAUGGGUCACUAUCGGCGGUGGUUUAAACA